RNAcentral lists this small nucleolar RNA (138 nucleotides) under Cathartes aura (turkey vulture). Its description in RNAcentral is "Small nucleolar RNA SNORA5". It matches the Rfam family "Small nucleolar RNA SNORA5". Rfam says of the family: ACA5 is a member of the H/ACA class of snoRNA that guide the sites of modification of uridines to pseudouridines. Lineage: Eukaryota; Metazoa; Chordata; Aves; Accipitriformes; Cathartidae. The record is from Rfam by way of RNAcentral.
UGCAGCCCCGUCAAAUUCGGUCCUUGCCUCCUCCAUGGCGGGGACCCGGCCACCCUGCCACAGCAACUUCUGUGGUCUGUGAGCCCCACGUCCCCUUCCCGUGGGACGCUGGGGGAUAAAAUCACACCACGGACAUGU